GACGAACGCUGGCGGCGUGCUUAACACAUGCAAGUCGAACGGAAAGGCCCUGCUUUUGUGGGGUGCUCGAGUGGCGAACGGGUGAGUAACACGUGAGUAACCUGCCCUUGACUUUGGGAUAACUUCAGGAAUCUGGGGCUAAUACCGGAUAGGAGCUCCUGCUGCAUGGUGGGGGUUGGAAAGUUUCGGCGGUUGGGGAUGGACUCGCGGCUUAUCAGCUUGUUGGUGGGGUAGUGGCUUACCAAGGCUUUGACGGGUAGCCGGCCUGAGAGGGUGACCGGCCACAUUGGGACUGAGAUACGGCCCAGACUCCUACGGGAGGCAGCAGUGGGGAAUAUUGCACAAUGGGCGGAAGCCUGAUGCAGCAACGCCGCGUGCGGGAUGACGGCCUUCGGGUUGUAAACCGCUUUCGCCUGUGACGAAGCGUGAGUGACGGUAAUGGGUAAAGAAGCACCGGCUAACUACGUGCCAGCAGCCGCGGUGAUACGUAGGGUGCGAGCGUUGUCCGGAUUUAUUGGGCGUAAAGGGCUCGUAGGUGGUUGAUCGCGUCGGAAGUGUAAUCUUGGGGCUUAACCCUGAGCGUGCUUUCGAUACGGGUUGACUUGAGGAAGGUAGGGGAGAAUGGAAUUCCUGGUGGAGCGGUGGAAUGCGCAGAUAUCAGGAGGAACACCAGUGGCGAAGGCGGUUCUCUGGGCCUUUCCUGACGCUGAGGAGCGAAAGCGUGGGGAGCGAACAGGCUUAGAUACCCUGGUAGUCCACGCUGUAAACGGUGGGUACUAGGUGUGGGGUCCAUUCCACGGGUUCCGUGCCGUAGCUAACGCUUUAAGUACCCCGCCUGGGGAGUACGGCCGCAAGGCUAAAACUCAAAGGAAUUGACGGGGCCCCGCACAAGCGGCGGAGCAUGCGGAUUAAUUCGAUGCAACGCGUAGAACCUUACCUGGGUUUGACAUGGAUCGGGAGUGCUCAGAGAUGGGUGUGCCUCUUUUGGGGUCGGUUCACAGGUGGUGCAUGGCUGUCGUCAGCUCGUGUCGUGAGAUGUUGGGUUAAGUCCCGCAACGAGCGCAACCCUUGUUCACUGUUGCCAGCACGUUAUGGUGGGGACUCAGUGGAGACCGCCGGGGUCAACUCGGAGGAAGGUGGGGAUGACGUCAAGUCAUCAUGCCCCUUAUGUCCAGGGCUUCACGCAUGCUACAAUGGCUGGUACAGAGAGUGGCGAGCCUGUGAGGGUGAGCGAAUCUCGGAAAGCCGGUCUCAGUCCGGAUUGGGGUCUGCAACUCGACCUCAUGAAGUCGGAGUCGCUAGUAAUCGCAGAUCAGCAACGCUGCGGUGAAUACGUUCCCGGGGCU
RNAcentral lists this ribosomal RNA (1346 nucleotides) under uncultured bacterium. RNAcentral's name for it is "partial 16S ribosomal RNA". It matches the Rfam family "Bacterial small subunit ribosomal RNA", at positions 28 to 1381 of the family's 1533-position model. The record is from RNAcentral.